AUGAAGUGCCUGCGCGUGCUGAUGGUCUCCGAGCCUCUCCUAGCAGAUCUUCCUAAACUGAAGCACCUCCGUUACCUUGAGAUCCAUGUUGACGACAAUUAUGGAAAUGCGUCUCUUCCAGAAUCUAUAUGCAAGUUAUAUCAGCUGCAGACAUUGAUCACAAGGUUCUGUGGCAACAAAUUGUCAAUGCCGAAGAAUUUCAAACAAUUAAUCAGCCUGCAGUUCCUCGAAACUGAACCGGAAGCAGUAUGCACAAUUGCUGAUAUUGGAAAGUUGACUUCCCUGCAAGAAAUUAAUACCUUUGAGGUUGGCAAUAAUGACAAAUUUGGCAUUAAUCAACUGGAAAAUAUGAACAAGGUCCAUGGUAGUCUUUGCAUCAAAGGACUUGAGAUGGUGGAGGGCAAGGACGAGGCUUUGAAGGCAAAGCUAGACAAAAAGGAGUAUAUCGAAACAUUAGAUCUGCGCUGGAAGCUUGUGAGCGAGAGAACUGAGUCCAUGAUGACUACUGCACACGAAGUGCUGGAAGGCCUUCAGCCACACUGCAAUCUUAGCAAGCUCAUAAUAAAUGGCUACACAGGCAUGCAACCCCCAAACUGGCUGAAGGGGGCCCAGGCCCAGGAGCUAAAUCUUAAGUGCAUCGAGCUCUCAAAUUGCAGUGGAUGGAAGGACCUUCCACCUUUUGGCAUUCUACCAUACCUCAAGGUCUUGCAUCUAAGGCAGAUGAGAUCUCUGCGGCGGAUCGGGGAAGAGAUAUAUGGCCAAGACAUCCCAUCUGGAUUUCCACAGCUGCAUGAGCUCUUGUUUGAAGGCCUCUGUAAUUUAGAGGAAUGGUUCUUGCCCAACAGAGACAUCCAGUUACUUCCCAAGCUUCGCAGUCUGUCCAUAACCAAUUGCGGCAAACUGAAGGGACCCCAAGCCCUUCCAUAUUUAUUAGAGAAGUUGCCAUCUGUGGUCAUCAAGAACUGCCUCAACAUCGGUAAAGACUAUAUCCGUCCCUCUAUGACCAUUGGCAAGCCAAUAUUGAAGAAAGAUGUGGAAUGCAUCAGGACUAGCCCUGUUUAUUGUCAAAAACCUGCAUCCCUGAAACGGAAAUUUGCUGAUAGAUCAUGA
RNAcentral lists this ribosomal RNA (1110 nucleotides) under Triticum aestivum (bread wheat). RNAcentral describes it as "partial small subunit ribosomal RNA". The record is from RNAcentral. Lineage: Eukaryota; Viridiplantae; Streptophyta; Magnoliopsida; Poales; Poaceae.